UGGGGCAAUGGUAGCGCAUUUGACUCCAGAUCAGAAGGUUGUGUGUUCGAUUCACAU
RNAcentral lists this transfer RNA (57 nucleotides) under Ipomoea nil (Japanese morning glory). It matches the Rfam family "tRNA", at positions 8 to 63 of the family's 71-position model. Rfam says of the family: Transfer RNA (tRNA) molecules are approximately 80 nucleotides in length. Their secondary structure includes four short double-helical elements and three loops (D, anti-codon, and T loops). The record is from Rfam by way of RNAcentral. Lineage: Eukaryota; Viridiplantae; Streptophyta; Magnoliopsida; Solanales; Convolvulaceae.